Molecule: ribosomal RNA, 232 nt
Filed under: uncultured bacterium
Lineage: Bacteria
Description: partial 16S ribosomal RNA
Rfam family: Bacterial small subunit ribosomal RNA
Source: RNAcentral
CGGACGGGUGAGUAAUGUCUGGGAAACUGCCCGAUGGAGGGGGAUAACUACUGGAAACGGUAGCUAAUACCGCAUAAUGUCUACGGACCAAAGCGGGGGACCUCCGGGCCUCGCGCCACCAGAUGAACCCAUAUGGGAUUAGCUAGUAGGUGAGGUAACGGCUUACCUAGGCGACGAUCCCUAGCUGGUCUGAGAGGAUGAUCAGCCACACUGGAACUGAGACACGGUCCAG